GUUGUUGUGGCCGAGAGGUUUUUAGCGAUGGACUCGAAAUCCAUUGGGGUCUCCCCGCGCAGGUUCGAGUCCUGCCAGCAACG
Molecule: transfer RNA, 83 nt
Filed under: Gasterosteus aculeatus (three-spined stickleback)
Lineage: Eukaryota; Metazoa; Chordata; Actinopteri; Perciformes; Gasterosteidae
Rfam family: tRNA
About the family: Transfer RNA (tRNA) molecules are approximately 80 nucleotides in length. Their secondary structure includes four short double-helical elements and three loops (D, anti-codon, and T loops).
Source: Rfam by way of RNAcentral